UGAGGGUGAAACUGCUAUUGCCGGCGGC
This 28-nucleotide non-coding RNA is filed under the name Homo sapiens (human). The record is from RNAcentral. Lineage: Eukaryota; Metazoa; Chordata; Mammalia; Primates; Hominidae.